AGAGGGUAUAUACAGUAGGUCAUGGAGGGACAGAGGGUAGGAGGAGAGAUGAUGUAGAGGGUAUAUACAGUAGGUCAUAGAGGGUAGGGGGAGAGAUGAUGUAGAGGGUAUAUACAGUAGGUCAUGGAGGGACAGAGGGUAGGAGGAGAGAUGAUGUAGAGGGUAUAUACAGUAGGUCAUAGAGGGUAGGAGGAGAGAUGAUGUAGAGGGUAUAUACAGUAGGUCAUGGAGGGACAGAGGGUAGGAGGAGAGAUGAUGUAGAGGGUAUAUACAGUAGGUCAUAGAGGGUAGGAGGAGAGAUGAUGUAGAGGGUAUAUACAGUAGGUCAUGGAGGGACAGAGGGUAGGAGGAGAGAUGAUGUAGAGGGUAUAUACAGUAGGUCAUGGAGGGACAGAGGGUAGGAGGAGAGAUGAUGUAGAGGGUAUAUACAGUAGGUCAUAGAGGGUAGGAGGAGAGAUGAUGUAGAGGGUAUAUACAGUAGGUCAUGGAGGGACAGAGGGUAGGAGGAGAGAUGAUGUAGAGGGUAUAUACAGUAGGUCAUGGAGGGACAGAGGGUAGGAGGAGAGAUGAUGUAGAGGAGGGUAUAUACAGUAGGUCAUGGAGGGACAGAGGGUAGGAGGAGAGAUGAUGUAGAGGAGGGUAUAUACAGUAGGUCAUGGAGGGACAGAGGGUAGGAGGAGAGAUGAUGUAGAAGGUAUAUACAGUAGGUCGUAGAGGGACAGAGGGUAGGAGGAGAGAUGAUGUAGAGAUGAUGUAGAGGAGGGUAUAUACAGUAGGUCAUGGAGGGACAGAGGGUAGGAGGAGAGAUGAUGUAGAGGGUAUAUACAGUAGGUCAUGGAGGGACAGAGGGUAGGAGGAGAGAUGAUGUAGAGGGUAUAUACAGUAG
RNAcentral lists this long non-coding RNA (886 nucleotides) under Salmo salar (Atlantic salmon). RNAcentral describes it as "lncRNA (ENSSSAG00000095355.1)". The record is from RNAcentral. Lineage: Eukaryota; Metazoa; Chordata; Actinopteri; Salmoniformes; Salmonidae.